UCUUGUUAGGGGUACCAUAUCUUUUCUCAAUUUGGGACCAUAUACUCUGUGCAGUAUCGGAAUACUGCACACUAUCAGCAAUCUGAGGAGACAUGGAAGAGGUCAACCAGGAAAUGACCAUGUUAUUACAUCUAUCCCACAAUCUCUGUUGAGCCACAUUAGUGGUAGGUCGAGGACAUGAGCCGUCAACAAAUCCGAUUUUAUUCUUAGCAGAUAAUGCAACAAUCAUCUUUCGCCUCCAACCCCCAUAACCACUACCCAAGAAGGGAGUGGGGACAAGAGAGACCCUAGGGACAUCAGAGGAAUAUACAAAAGGGGGCUGGUAGAGUCUACCGAGGAGGAGGUACCAGCAGUGGUAUUAGAAGCCAUGAUUAAUGAACCAGCUUGAAAGAAAAAACAGUUUCGACCGAGGAGGAGGUACCAACAGUGGUAUUAGAAGCCAUGAUUAAUGAAUCAGCUUAAAAACAGUGUCGGCAAUCAAAAUAUAACAGAACCAGAUACUCACAUACAGAACCAGAUAAUCACAUACAAAGCAUACAAUAGUCAGAAUAAGGACAAAGUUACCCUCCUUGUUCGCGACCGGAGAAGAUCGGCCUUCAAUCAACAAAGAAAACCCUAGGUCCAACACCGGAAAUCCUAGGUUAUGAAGCUCACCGGAGUAUGGUCAUAGACGCCGGAGAAUCACCCAAAACAUCCAUCAAGCGAAGAAAAAGCCAUCGGAUAACACCAAAACUCUAG
This 738-nucleotide long non-coding RNA is filed under the name Nicotiana benthamiana. RNAcentral describes it as "long non-coding RNA (NBEN_LNC031910)". Lineage: Eukaryota; Viridiplantae; Streptophyta; Magnoliopsida; Solanales; Solanaceae. The record is from RNAcentral.